CAACGCGAAGAACCUUACCUGGUCUUGACAUCCACGGAAGUUUUCAGAGAUGAGAAUGUGCCUUCGGGAACCGUGAGACAGGUGCUGCAUGGCUGUCGUCAGCUCGUGUUGUGAAAUGUUGGGUUAAGUCCCGCAACGAGCGCAACCCUUAUCCUUUGUUGCCAGCGGUCCGGCCGGGAACUCAAAGGAGACUGCCAGUGAUAAACUGGAGGAAGGUGGGGAUGACGUCAAGUCAUCAUGGCCCUUACGACCAGGGCUACACACGUGCUACAAUGGCGCAUACAAAGAGAAGCGACCUCGCGAGAGCAAGCGGACCUCAUAAAGUGCGUCGUAGUCCGGAUUGGAGUCUGCAACUCGACUCCAUGAAGUCGGAAUCGCUAGUAAUCGUGGAUCAGAAUGCCACGGUGAAUACGUUCCCGGGCCUUGUACACACCGCCCGUCACACCAUGGGAGUGGGUUGCAAAAGAAGUAGGUAGCUUAACCUUCGGGAGGGCGCUUACCACUUUGUGAUUCAUGACUGGGGUGAAGUCGUAACAAGGUAACCGUAGGGGAACCUGCGGUUGGAUCAC
This 569-nucleotide ribosomal RNA is filed under the name Escherichia coli. RNAcentral describes it as "bacterial SSU rRNA". It matches the Rfam family "Bacterial small subunit ribosomal RNA", at positions 957 to 1526 of the family's 1533-position model. RNAcentral also lists the same sequence under 1 other name. The record is from RNAcentral. Lineage: Bacteria; Pseudomonadati; Pseudomonadota; Gammaproteobacteria; Enterobacterales; Enterobacteriaceae.